Molecule: long non-coding RNA, 335 nt
Filed under: Homo sapiens (human)
Lineage: Eukaryota; Metazoa; Chordata; Mammalia; Primates; Hominidae
Description: HSALNT0077271
Source: RNAcentral
AGGAAUAGAGAGCAAUCAGAUGAUACAGAAUUUGGUGACUGACUGGAUAGAUCAUGAAGGCAAGGAGAAAACCAAGAUGAGUCUGAUGACAGAGUGGAAGUUGGUGCCAUUAACUGAGGUGGCUUAGAGUCUGCAGUUUUGCACAUUUUGAUUGUUUGAUAUAUUUACCCAUCCACCUAUGAAUAUGAAGAAAAUGUUCUUAUAUUCCUUUACUACCAGUGGAAUCAAUUAAGAGGUCUGGAGAAGGAAAUGUACUGUUAUGACUAUAAAGACAUCCUGCUGAAUAUCCUGAUGCUUGGGAAAGUAAAACUCAAUAUAGAAAAAGCAUCACUAAU